Molecule: unclassified non-coding RNA, 279 nt
Filed under: plant metagenome
Description: partial contains small subunit ribosomal RNA, internal transcribed spacer 1, and 5.8S ribosomal RNA
Source: RNAcentral
UUUCCGUAGGUGAACCAGCGGAAGGAUCAUUAACGAGUAAGGGUCAUUCUGGCCCGACUUCCAACCCUUCGCUUAACUACUAUGUUGCCUUGGCGGGCCCGUUUCACGACACCCGGAAGGGCUCGGACUUCUCGCCCGUCCCCGCCAAUAGCCUCCUACAAUCACUUGAUCCUCUGUGAUGUCUGUGUUAUAAAUUUAAUAGUUAAAACUUUCAACAACGGUUCUUUUGGUUCUCGCAGCGAUAAACAACGGAGCAGAACGGAACACGUCACGACUGAA